CGCAGCUGUGAGGCUGGGCUGAGGGAGUGAGGGAGCGUUGGGUGACGCAGGUAGAGGCAGCAAGGUUUCAGACCAGACACUGAUCCCAAAUGAAACGUUCUCCUUUGUCCCAUUCUGACUGGACCUUUUUUUUUUUUCUUUCUCUUUUGAGGGUGUCACCCAGGAAAUACACUGCUGUGUUCUUUUAAAAUAAGUGAUGCUAACAUCUCAUUUUUGGGUGGUGAUUGACAGUGUUUAAGGCAGAUGUGUUUCCACGGUUGAAAUUUAUCCUUCAACCAGCUGUUUGAGGUAAGUACGGUAUGGUCUUUAUUUGAGAGAUGGGGAAACUGAGGCCCCGAGAGCAAUGUCCUAGGCCAGUGUUGUAUCAGUGAGUAAUUAGUAUUACUCUGAGACCAAUAAGGACUUCUUCCCACAUCAUGCUGUGGUGUUCGUCUAUCCUCCUUUCUCAAAGAUCCUGCUCUCCUUGACAAAAUUAGUUAAUUAAUCCGAUCCUUUAUGCAUAUAGAGUGUCUGCUACAUGCCAUGUAUUAGUAAAGCAUCAAAUACAACAUGCAACCACCCUGUCCUCGUGGUACUGAAAUCCUGAGAGGUGAUUAGUACAUGCAUGUGACAUUUCAGGUGCAGGUAAGAACACUGGCAAAAAGUUCAGCAGGGUUGGAGGUGGGGGAGAGCCCCUGUUUUAUGCAGGGUGAGCCGAGAAAGCCUGCCAAGAAGUCACCGUGGGAUCAGAGCCCGAGAGAAGCGAGGAAGCCCCUGGGGUGGUUCUGGGGCACAUGCUGGACGACAGCACAGACCACAGUACGUGCCCCUCAGCUGUCCAAGGUAGGUGUCAUUACCCCCGGGAGAGAUAAAAACCCUCAGAGCUGCUUGCUCAAGUCCCACAGCUAUCAGGAGGGGAAAGAGGGCGUGGACCAAGGUCUGUCUUCAAAGCUCUGCUCCUAACCACCGUCAGUUUCAGGCAGGAAAUCUUAUCAGGUGGGGAGAUAUUUGGGGCAGGUCCUCUGCACUCAGAUUCCUCGGAAAACACUUGGUGUUUGCCAAUGCCACUGACGUGAUGUCACCAAGGCACAUACUGGCAAAAUAAAAACUGGCCUGCUUUUAUUAUUUGACUUAGUUUUUAUUUCAUGUUUAUAUUUCCUAGCGGGCAACCGACCAGAGCCCAGCGAUUACAGUCAACGUCACGCACAUUAUAGCGAGAGAGACUGGGCUAGGGAUAAUCGUUCUUUAAAUGUCACCGUAUGCCAGGCACUGUUAAGUGCUUUAUAUCUAGUAUCUCACUUAAUUUUCACAAACAGCCUGUGAAACAGAUACUAGCUUUAUCUUCAUUUGAGAGAUGAUGAGCUUGAGUUGAGGGUCCGGUAAGUCUUACAUUACUGAGACGUGUCUGAUUUACAUUCAACUCACCUCUAACACCAUAAACCGGGCUCUCGAGCCCUAAGGAAUGGGUACAGCAAAUCUUGAGUGUCAAGUGCUGACGGAAAGGAGGCCUAAGGGGGGAAAGGCAGGGAGACUGUGCGUCUGCUUUUUUGGGGGUCACAUAUUUAUCCAAUACAUCCAAAUGGAGUAAAUUGGGAUUGGUUGGGAGUGAAACCUUUUUUCUCCAGAACGGCACUCUAGAAUUAUAAAGAGCAAUUCAUCAAUCCAGGAAGAAUGCAGGGCAAACCCCUGUCACACUUGACAUUUGAUUUUUAAAUGUCCACCUUUUGGGGGGGAGGGGUAUUAAAAUACGGGCUUAUUGGUAACCCAUGAGAAUAUCAAGAACAAGGGUGAAGACGAUGAAAACAUCCCUAAUCUUCCUACUCAGAGACAACCGCCAUCGCCAUUCUGAUAGCUCAGUGUUCUAGCUUCUGUGCAAGCCUCCUUAAAACAUGUACUUUAGUCGAAACAGUUCUUUACAUAGAAUGGUGCAAGAUCACCUCUUUCUUGUGAAUUGAGCUGUACCCCCGUCCCCAGCUGCACACGCACAGAAACAGCUCUGGCUCAGGCUGCAGUGGCCUCCUUUUCCCCUUUGCUUAUCACCUUGAGUUCCACAGGAGUGUGUGGUAAAGCCAGGCCCCAACUGGGCCCUGCUGUCUCUGGAAGGAUUUCAGCUGACCCUGAGCUCUGGCACAGCCAAAGGGCAUCCGCCUCUGCUACUGAGCCAUACAUUUCCCCUGACAGGAGCUCCUCUUAGACCUCCCUAGACAGCAGACAUCGCGAGCAGACAGCAAGAUUCACGGCUGUCUGGCUUCUCCCUGUCCUCCCCCAGAUGGGCUGAAGCCAGAUGACAGAGCAUGAGACCCAAGGAGGAACAGCCUGGGGGUCGACGGCACGCCAAGCAGAAGUGGACAAUAUCUGGUCCCAGCUCACGCCUUGGCUUAAUCGCAACCACAUGAGCAAACUCAGGGCUGCACAGCACAGUUGUAAUUGGAAUAGAGUGUCCUCUGGGAGACUGUUGGGGAUGAAGCUGUUCACUGCAUGAGACGACGCACUGCUGCAGAUAUAAUCCAUUUACCGACGAUCAUAACGGUGGCUAACGUUUACUGCGUGCCUAUCGUGCCCCCGGCACAGCGUUCGAUACCCUGGGAGGAUUACCUCAUUAGUUCUCAUAACACAUUGCACAGAGUUUCCACCUUGCCUGCAUCUUGGAAUGACCUGGGAAAGUUUUACUACUGCAGGUACCUGGUCCCAGAGCUACUAAUUUAACUCAUCUGAGAUGUGGUCCACUCAUAAGCUCUUUCCAUUGGGAGCCGGAUUCUCUUUUCCUGCCCUUUGAAUCUGAGGUGGCCAUGCAGCCUGCCUUGAUCGAUAGAAUCCUGCAGAAGAAAUGUUGUGCCAGUUCUGAGCCUGAGCCUUGCAGGCUCCUGCUUGCUAUCCUGGAACCCCACCAUCGCCAUGUGAAUGACCCUGGUCUGCCCUCCUGGAGGAUCAUAGCUGAGGCCAUCCCAGACCAACCAACCCGGCCCACAAACUCACGGGGAAGCCUGGCUGAGAUCAGAGCCCGGGCCAGACCCACAGGACCUUCCAGUUGAUCUACAGACUUGUGGGCAAUGAUAAAUGGUGGUUAUUUUAAGCCACUAACUUUGGGUUGAUUUGUUAUGCAACAGUAGGUAGCUGAUACACUUCAAUAUAGUUUCCUAUUUCUCGUUGAGCCUAAAUCGGGUUCUCCCUUUAUCCACUCUCAUAGCACCUUAUACUUGUCAACUGUAUAAUGGAUGACAAUGCUUAUCAGAACUAAAAAUUGUGUAAAUAAUACUUUUUUCUCUCUCUGAUUAGAGUUUAAGCCCCAUGAGAUCAGAGACCACAUUUGAUUUGCUCCCUGAAAUAGUCCUACCAUCUGGCAUUAUUUUAUACACGGUAUAUGCUACACUUGAUCUUAACCAAGAGGCCGAGAAGCGAUACACAUGGUGAAUGCUAAAUAAAUACUUGUCAGAAGACAAACGCAAGGAUGAAUUCAUAUGCUCACUAAACAUGUCCUAAGUACUUUCUCCAUUUUGGGUACCAUGCAAGAUGUUAAAGAUAUCAGAAUGAAUAAGGCAUAGUCUUUGUUCUUAAGGAAAUUCACGGUUUAAAAGCUGGGACAUGGACAUGUAAAUAAAAAUUGUAGGCCACGUUAAUGAGUGUAAUUGAGGGUGUUUAGCAUGUUGAUAAGAGCAGGAUAGAUCAGUGGGUUGAAUAAAUCUGGAGAAAAGAAGUUCCUGGAAAAUGGUUUAUGGAAUAAAUAUUUGAAAUGAUGAUUCUACA
This is a long non-coding RNA of Felis catus (domestic cat), 3723 nucleotides long. RefSeq lists it as uncharacterized. NCBI's taxonomy places the organism in Eukaryota, Metazoa, Chordata, Mammalia, Carnivora, Felidae. The transcript has 3 exons. The record is from RefSeq and is a predicted model, not a curated record.